GGAAGGAUCAUUAUUGAUUUUCAAAAGAUGUGCUGGCAAAUCCUUCAGGUUUGCAUGUGCACUCUACAAAAUCUCCUCUUACCCCAUUGUGCACACUCUAGUAGGCAAACAGAUUCACAGAGUAAUCUGUGCAAUCUGAACUUGUCUAUGUUUUUAUCAAACACCGAUAACAUUUCAGAAUGAUGUAUGUAGUAAGCUUUCUAGUAAGCUGAAAUCUAAUACAACUUUCAACAAUGGAUCUCUUGGUUCUCGCAUCGAUGAAGAACGCAGCGAAUUGCGAUAUGUAAUGUGAAUUGCAGAAUUCAGUGAAUCAUCGAAUCUUUGAACGCACCUUGCACCCUCUGGUAUUCCGGAGGGUAUGCCUGUUUGAGCGUCAUUAAUCUCUCAACAUGAGAAAUUUUUGUUUCUUGUGUUUGGAUAUUGAAGGUCUUGCUGGUGCAAAUAGCUGUCAGCUCCUUUUAAAUGUAUUAGCAGGGCAUGUAGGACUGGCCUCAGUUUGAUAAGAAUUUAUUAUCUAUGCUGUCGCUAGGUUUCCUCUUUGUGCUCAGCUUCAAAUUGUCUUUGGACUGUCUCUCGAGGCAACAAAACUCUUAUUGAUCGACCUCAAAUCAGGUAGGAUUACCCGCUGAACUUAAGCAUAUCAAUAAGCGGAGGAAAAGAAACUAACAAGGAUUCCCUUAGUAACUGCGAGUGAAGAGGGAAGAGCUCAAAUUUAAAAUCUGUCAGUCUUUGGCUGACCGAGUUGUAAAUUAGAGAAGUGCUAUCAGCGCUGGCCUGUGCAAAAGUCUCUUGGAAAAGAGCAUCAUAGAGGGUGACAAUCCCGUCUUUGGUACAGAGCUCCAGGGCUUCCAUGAUGUGCUCUCAAUGAGUCGAGUUGUUUGGGAAUGCAGCUCUAAAUGGGUGGUAAAUUCCAUCUAAAGCUAAAUAUUGGCGAGAAACCGAUAGCGCACAAGUACCGUGAGGGAAAGAUGAAAAGAACUUUGAAAAGAGAGUUAAACAGUACGUGAAAUUGUUGAAAGGGAAACGCUUGAAGUCAGUCGUGUCCUUCAGAAGUCAACCUGACUUUGGUCUGGCUUAUUUUCUGUUGGAUGGGUCAGCAUCAAUUUUGAUCAUUGGAUAAAGGCCUUGGGAAAGUGGCAUCCCUGGAUGUGUUAUAGCCCUUGGAUCAUAUACAAUGGUUGGGAUUGAGGAACUCAGUGUGAACUUGGGGCUUUGGCUCACAACACGCACUUAGGAUGCUGGCAUAAUGGCUUUAAUCGACCCGUCUUGAAACACGGACCAAGGAGUCUAACAUGCAUGCAAGUGUUUGGGUGGAAAACUCAAGCGCGCAAUGAAAGUGAAAGUUGAGAACCCUGUCGUGGGGUGCAUCGACGCCCGGACCUGACCUUUUGUGAUGGACCUGCGGUAGAGCAUGUAUGUUGGGACCCGAAAGAUGGUGAACUAUGCCUGAAUAGGGUGAAGCCAGAGGAAACCCUGGUGGAAGCUCGUAGCGAUUCUGACGUGCAAAUCGAUCGUCGAAUUUGGGUAUAGGGGCGAAAGACUAAUCGAACCAUCUAGUAGCUGGUUCCCGC
RNAcentral lists this unclassified non-coding RNA (1571 nucleotides) under uncultured fungus. RNAcentral describes it as "sequence contains 18S rRNA gene, ITS1, 5.8S rRNA gene, ITS2, 28S rRNA gene". The stretch from base 599 to 1571 matches the Rfam family "Eukaryotic large subunit ribosomal RNA", at positions 1 to 961 of the family's 3401-position model. The record is from RNAcentral. Lineage: Eukaryota; Fungi.